GUGCCAGCCGCCGCGGUAAUACGGAGGGUGCAAGCGUUGUCCGGAUUUAUUGGGUUUAAAGGGUGCGUAGGCGGCUCUUUAAGUCAGUGGUGAAAGCCCGCAGCUUAACUGUGGAACUGCCAUUGAUACUGGAGAGCUUGAGUACGGUUGAAGUAGGCGGAAUUUAUGGUGUAGCGGUGAAAUGCAUAGAUACCAUAAAGAACACCGAUAGCGUAGGCAGCUUACUAAGCCGUAACUGACGCUGAGGCACGAAAGCAUGGGGAGCGAACAGGAUUAGAUACCCCUGUAGUCC
Molecule: ribosomal RNA, 292 nt
Filed under: uncultured bacterium
Lineage: Bacteria
Description: partial 16S ribosomal RNA
Rfam family: Bacterial small subunit ribosomal RNA
Source: RNAcentral